Molecule: long non-coding RNA, 1404 nt
Filed under: Salmo trutta (river trout)
Lineage: Eukaryota; Metazoa; Chordata; Actinopteri; Salmoniformes; Salmonidae
Description: lncRNA (ENSSTUG00000000940.1)
Source: RNAcentral
CUUGAUUUCUCUCAGAACUGUUAGUGUGAAUGUAUUUGAUCAGUUUGCCUUGAAGUAAUGCACCUUUAUUCUUUGAAGGUGGAACAUCAACAGAAAGGGAGUACUUUCAUUAUAUCCAGCUCCAACUGCACAUUGACUCCUAGAGGAAAAAUGGUCUCUGCUGUAAACUGGUGGCAAAUACUACCAUACAGCCAAAAGUAAGCAUGGUCAUCACAUACAACCAUAUAUUCCUAUAUAAGUAUUCCUUUGUGAUGUGCUACUAUUGAUUUGUGGUGUUGGGUAUGAUGUGUGGAUUUUAUGUGCAUGUACCUGACACCAUGAAGUUCCUACAGGAAAAAACGUUCUAUGUGCUAUAUGACCAGCUACAGUAUCUCAGUCUCUCUGUUGCUGUCUAUAUUUGGCUAAUAUUAUUUUUCAUCUUGUGUUGCAGAGUGGGCAGUUUGAUUAUGACUAUAGCCCAAACUUCAACCCCACAUUUCAGGUGUUUUUGGACUGCAUGUCGGGUGCAGAGAACAUCAGACUGAGUCUUUUAGACAGAGGAAGUAACAACCAAAGAGUGUGGGAGUGUCUAAUUCCAACAGAUUUCGAACCACCUCAAGUCAAUCUGAUCAACCCUAAUCCUGGUGCUGAGGCUGAAUUGAACCAGCUCUCGGAUGCAGCGUUUGUGGAUAAGCAUAUGGCUGAUCUCAUUCAGAGGGUCACGAUGGUGCUGCAUGUAGCAGAUGACCUGCUUGUGGAGGAGAUGAUCCCAGAUGAAUUGUACUCAAGAAUCCUCAGGGCUUGGACCAGUUAGGAACAAAUGAGACUACUGUUGGAUGCUGUACAAGCAGGAGGAACAAGAGUGAAAUCUGCCUUCUACAAAGCUCUCCUUAACCAUGAACCUCGUCUUGUCCAGGACCUGGGUAAGAUCAAAUUCCUCCUGUCCCCUGUAUCUCAGUUGGUAGAACAUGGACAUGCAACGCCAGGAUAGUGGGUUUGAUUCCCAGGAGCGCCCAUUCGUAAAAAUAUAUGCAGAAAUAUAUUUAGUCCCUUUGGAUAAAAGUGUAUGAUAAAUGUCAUAUAUUUUAUUAUUAUUGCUCUCCCACUAUGAGUACCUGAAACAUGGAGGGACAUUAGAACGGCCCCUGAAACUUGCAAAGCUUCCCAAAAUAACCAUAAUAUUUCAAAUAGACGGCCCGCACUUAGGGCUUGUACAGACAGAAUACAUUUUGUGGACAGAGAGUAUAUUGUUCCCAUAGUGUGUAUUCAGAGUGUGUGUUCAGAGUGUGUAUUCCCAUAGUGUGUAUUCGUAGGUGUGUAUUCUUAUGUGUGUAUUCAGAGUGUGUAUUAUCAUAGCGUGUAUUCGCAUGUGUGUAUUCAGAAUGUGUAUUCUCAUAGUGUGUAUUCUUAUGUGUGUAUUCAGAG